RNAcentral lists this ribosomal RNA (620 nucleotides) under Anillochlamys moroderi. RNAcentral describes it as "partial 16S ribosomal RNA". It matches the Rfam family "Bacterial large subunit ribosomal RNA", at positions 1827 to 2731 of the family's 2925-position model. Lineage: Eukaryota; Metazoa; Arthropoda; Insecta; Coleoptera; Leiodidae. The record is from RNAcentral.
GUCUUAUUGAUAAUAAUUUUAAGUCUAAUCUGCCCAGUGAAUUUUAAAUGGCUGCAGUAUUUUAACUGUACAAAGGUAGCAUAAUAAUUAGUUUCUUAAUUAGGAACUGGAAUGAAAGAUUGAACGAGACAAUAACUGUCUUAAUUUAAUUUAAAGAAUUUUAUUUUUAAGUUAAAAAGCUUAAAUUUUUUUAAAAGACGAGAAGACCCUAUAGAAUUUUAUUUGAUUAUGAAAUUUGGAUUUUAGUAAUUGAAUUUUAAAUUUUUAUAUGAAAAUUUAGUUGGGGUGAUUGAAAAAUUUAUUAAACUUUUUUUAAAUUUUAAUCAUAAAUUUAUGAUUUAUUGAUCCAAUAUUGUUGAUUAUAAGAUUAAAUUACCUUAGGGAUAACAGCGUAAUUUUUUUAGAGAGUUCUUAUCGAUAAAAGAGAUUGCGACCUCGAUGUUGGAUUAAAAUAAAUUUUUAAUGUAGAAGUUAAAAUAUUAGGUCUGUUCGACCUUUAAAAUUUUACAUGAUCUGAGUUUAAAUCGGCGUGAGCCAGGUUGGAUUCUAUCUUUAAUUAGGUUAAAUAUUUUAGUACGAAAGGACCAGAUAUUUAUUAUAGUAAUUUAUAUAGAAUAUUA